GAUGAACGCUGGCGGCGUGCCUAAUACAUGCAAGUCGAGCGAACAGAUGAGAAGCUUGCUUCUCUGAUGUUAGCGGCGGACGGGUGAGUAACACGUGGGUAACCUACCUAUAAGACUGGGAUAACUCCGGGAAACCGGGGCUAAUACCGGAUAAUAUUUUGAACCGCAUGGUUCAAUAGUGAAAGACGGUUUCGGCUGUCACUUAUAGAUGGACCCGCGCAGUAUUAGCUAGUUGGUAAGGUAACGGCUUACCAAGGCGACGAUACGUAGCCGACCUGGGAGGGUGAUCGGCCACACUGGAACUGAGACACGGUCCAGACUCCUACGGGAGGCAGCAGUAGGGAAUCUUCCGCAAUGGGCGAAAGCCUGACGGAGCAACGCCGCGUGAGUGAUGAAGGUCUUCGGAUCGUAAAACUCUGUUGUUAGGGAAGAACAAAUUUGUUAGUAACUGAACAAGUCUUGACGGUACCUAACCAGAAGGCCACGGCUAACUACGUGCCAGCCGCCGCAGUAA
RNAcentral lists this ribosomal RNA (514 nucleotides) under uncultured bacterium. RNAcentral describes it as "partial 16S ribosomal RNA". It matches the Rfam family "Bacterial small subunit ribosomal RNA", at positions 28 to 523 of the family's 1533-position model. The record is from RNAcentral.